Molecule: unclassified non-coding RNA, 279 nt
Filed under: Hevea brasiliensis (rubber tree)
Lineage: Eukaryota; Viridiplantae; Streptophyta; Magnoliopsida; Malpighiales; Euphorbiaceae
Source: RNAcentral
AUGAUCUUUGGAGUUGAAGGGGUUGAUCCUGUUAGGAGAGAGAAGCUGAUUGAUUUGCUUGAUAUCGAACUGCAUUGGCGAAUGCACAAAGUUUCUGAUGGGCAACGUCGUCGUGUGCAAAUUUGCAUGGGCCUCCUCCACCCCUACAAGGUACUGUUGCUCGAUGAAGUCACGGUUGACCUCGACGUUGUUACGAGAAUGGAUUUACUCGAUUUCUUCAAGGAAGAGUGUGAUGAGAGAGGCGCUACCAUUGUGUAUGCCACCCAUAUCUUCGACGGU